AUGAGUACUGGCAGGGGAAAUACCAUGAUCACAAAGGUGGUUUUCCCAGGGUGAGGUUCAUCCACUGCAAUUUCCCUGAAUGCGGGAAACUCGAUUGCAUAAUUUGUGGUAGUUGGGGACUGCAUUCGUGCUCUCCCCUG
RNAcentral lists this small nuclear RNA (140 nucleotides) under Gopherus agassizii (Agassiz's desert tortoise). RNAcentral's name for it is "U1 spliceosomal RNA". It matches the Rfam family "U1 spliceosomal RNA". From Rfam's summary of the family: U1 is a small nuclear RNA (snRNA) component of the spliceosome (involved in pre-mRNA splicing). Its 5' end forms complementary base pairs with the 5' splice junction, thus defining the 5' donor site of an intron. The record is from Rfam by way of RNAcentral. RNAcentral also lists the same sequence under 1 other name. Lineage: Eukaryota; Metazoa; Chordata; Testudines; Testudinidae.